This 339-nucleotide unclassified non-coding RNA is filed under the name Alphitonia oblata. RNAcentral's name for it is "partial miscellaneous RNA". The record is from RNAcentral. Lineage: Eukaryota; Viridiplantae; Streptophyta; Magnoliopsida; Rosales; Rhamnaceae.
CUAGAUCUAGCUGCUGUCGAAGUUCCGUCUACAAACGGAUAAGACUUCGGUAUUAGUGUAUACUGAGUUAUUGAACAUAAAGGAGCAAUAAUCAAUUUCUUGUUCUAGCAAGAAGUUUGGUAUUGCUCCUUUUUUAUUUAUUUAGGAGUUUUUUUUCUUUACUUCAUCUUUACUUCAACAUACCCAUCCUUUCGUUAUGUAGAAAUUUUUAUUUUACAUUUAAGGGUUUCAAUUCAAUUUUUUUCUUGUAGUUUCUCUUAGAAGAAUGAAAAAAAAAAAUGAUAAAUGGUGUAAAUUGACCUAUUUGUUUGUAAUAUGUAAUAGGGGCGGAUGUAGCCA